GGAAGAGGCGGGACUCGUUAUAGCUUGGCGACGUGAAUACGAAAAGUUGUGUACGGAAGUCUGUAUGAUAUGAACUAAUUUGAGAGUGUUGCAGACUGACUUGUUGCGAUGACGUUUGGAGACCUCACAAACUCCGUUCAGAUACUGACUUGGAGGGAGCUUAACUUCAAACCCCGGCAAUACAAGUCAGCAAGGCUACCGACGGUUCAACCAUGCUGUGGCUGUGGUUAGACUGAGAUGAACUAAAAGGAAGCAGUAAAAUCCUCUACAGUGCAGUGAAAGCAUUCUGAAAACAGCAGCUAUAUACAUAUCACAAAUAAUAAACUUUAAUCCUCACUUAAAGGGGUUGUUCUUUCCA
Molecule: long non-coding RNA, 358 nt
Organism: Xenopus laevis (African clawed frog)
Lineage: Eukaryota; Metazoa; Chordata; Amphibia; Anura; Pipidae
Exons: 2
Source: RefSeq, a predicted model, not a curated record